Molecule: ribosomal RNA, 846 nt
Filed under: uncultured Schizothecium
Lineage: Eukaryota; Fungi; Ascomycota; Sordariomycetes; Sordariales; Lasiosphaeriaceae
Description: eukaryotic LSU rRNA
Rfam family: Eukaryotic large subunit ribosomal RNA (bases 244-846)
Source: RNAcentral
GUGAAUUGCAGAUUUCAGUGAAUCAUCGAAUCUUUGAACGCACAUUGCGCCCGCUAGUAUUCUGGCGGGCAUGCCUGUUCGAGCGUCAUUUCAACCAUCAAGCCCUAGGCUUGCGUUGGAGCCCUGCGGCUGCCGCAGGCUCCCAAAUCCAGUGGCGGGCUCGUCGUCGUACCGAGUGCAGUAAACAUCCUCGCUCAGGGAGCGUGACGGGUUCUUGCCGUGAAACCCCCCACAUAUCAAGGUUGACCUCGGAUCAGGUAGGAAUACCCGCUGAACUUAAGCAUAUCAAUAAGCGGAGGAAAAGAAACCAACAGGGAUUGCCCCAGUAACGGCGAGUGAAGCGGCAACAGCUCAAAUUUGAAAUCUGGCCUCGGCCCGAGUUGUAAUUUGUAGAGGAAGCUUCUGGUGCGGCGCCGUCCGAGUCUCCUGGAACGGAGCGCCAUAGAGGGUGAGAGCCCCGUAUGGACGGAUGCCAAACCUGUGUGAAGCUCCUUCGACGAGUCGAGUAGUUUGGGAAUGCUGCUCUAAAUGGGGGGUAAAUUCCUUCUAAAGCUAAAUAUUGGCCAGAGACCGAUAGCGCACAAGUAGAGUGAUCGAAAGAUGAAAAGCACUUUGAAAAGAGGGUUAAACAGCACGUGAAAUUGUUGAAAGGGAAGCGCUUGUGACCAGACUUGAGCGCGGCGGAUCAUCCGGUGUUCUCACCGGUGCACUCCGCCGCGCCCAGGCCAGCAUCGGUUUCCGCGGGGGGACAAAGGUCCCGGGAACGUAGCUCCUCCGGGAGUGUUAUAGCCCGGGGCGUAAUGCCCCCGUGGGGACCGAGGACCGCGCAUCUGCAAGGAUGCUGGC